This 486-nucleotide ribosomal RNA is filed under the name uncultured bacterium. RNAcentral describes it as "partial 16S ribosomal RNA". It matches the Rfam family "Bacterial small subunit ribosomal RNA", at positions 28 to 507 of the family's 1533-position model. The record is from RNAcentral.
GAUGAACGCUGGCGGCGUGCCUAAUACAUGCAAGUCGAACGCUGGAGAUCUAGCUUGCUAGAUCGAAGGAGUGGCGAACGGGUGAGUAAUACAUAAGCAACCUACCCACGAAGACUGGGAUAAUCUCUGGAAACGGGGACUAAUACCGGAUAGGUAAUCGGAAGGCAUCUUCUGGUUAUUAAAGGUUAAAAACACUGGUGGAUGGGCUUAUGGCGCAUUAGUUAGUUGGUGAGGUAACGGCCCACCAAGACGAUGAUGCGUAGCCGGCCUGAGAGGGUGAACGGCCACAUUGGGACUGAGACACGGCCCAGACUCCUACGGGAGGAAGCAGUAGGGAAUUUUCGGCAAUGGGGGCAACCCUGACCGAGCAACGCCGCGUGAGUGAAGACGGCCUUCGGGUUGUAAAGCUCUGUUGUAAGGGAAGAACGGUAGAUAGAGAAUAUCUAAGUGACGGUACCUUACCAGAAAGCCACGGCUAACUACGUG